This 294-nucleotide ribosomal RNA is filed under the name Fomitopsis sp. RNAcentral describes it as "partial large subunit ribosomal RNA". It matches the Rfam family "Bacterial large subunit ribosomal RNA", at positions 1829 to 2105 of the family's 2925-position model. The record is from RNAcentral. Lineage: Eukaryota; Fungi; Basidiomycota; Agaricomycetes; Polyporales; Fomitopsidaceae.
UCAUUAAUGUGAUAGUAUACUGUGUGAAAUUUGCCCAAUGCCAUUAAUAUAAGAAAAAUCAUGGCUCCUUCCUGAAGGAAGGAAAAAAACUGUGAUUUAUCGAAAUUCUGGUUAAUAGCGGUCUUAACUAUGAGGAUCCUAAGGUAGCAAAAUCAAUUGGCCAUUAAAUGUGGUCCGGUAUCAAUAAUGUAACGAUGGUCUCGCUGUCUCUACAACUUGCUCAGUGAAAUUGAAUUACGCGUGCAGAUGCGCGUUACCACCAGGGGGACGGGAAGACCCUAUGCAGCUUCUACU